RNAcentral lists this ribosomal RNA (250 nucleotides) under uncultured beta proteobacterium. RNAcentral's name for it is "partial 16S ribosomal RNA". It matches the Rfam family "Bacterial small subunit ribosomal RNA", at positions 86 to 339 of the family's 1533-position model. The record is from RNAcentral. Lineage: Bacteria; Pseudomonadati; Pseudomonadota; Betaproteobacteria.
UGGCGGCGAGUGGCGCACGGGUGAGUAAUACAUCGGAACGUGUCUUCUAGUGGGGGAUAACUGCCCGAAAGGGCAGCUAAUACCGCAUGAGACCUGAGGGUGAAAGCGGGGGAUCGCAAGACCUCGCGCUGGAAGAGCGGCCGAUGUCCGAUUAGCUAGUUGGUGAGGUAAAGGCUCACCAAGGCGACGAUCGGUAGCUGGUCUGAGAGGACGACCAGCCACACUGGGACUGAGACACGGCCCAGACUCC